GCUGGGCACGAUGGUGCAUGACUGUAGUCCCAGCUAAUUGGGAGGCUGAGGUAGGAGGAUCGCCUGAGCCCAGGAGUUCUGGGCUGUCAUGUGCUAUGUUGAUCAGGUGUCUGCACUAAGUUUGGCAUCAAUAUGGUGACCUCCUGAGAGUGGGGGACCACCAGUUUGCCUAAGGAGGGGUGAACCGGCCCAGGUCAGAAAUGGAGCAGGUCAAAACUCCCGUGUUGAUCAGUAGUGGGAUUGCCCCUGUGAAUAGCCACUGCACCCCAGCCUGGGCAACAUAGCGAGACCCCAUCUCUU
Unclassified non-coding RNA from Callithrix jacchus (white-tufted-ear marmoset), 300 nucleotides. It matches the Rfam family "Metazoan signal recognition particle RNA". Rfam says of the family: The signal recognition particle (SRP) is a universally conserved ribonucleoprotein. It is involved in the co-translational targeting of proteins to membranes. The record is from Ensembl. NCBI's taxonomy places the organism in Eukaryota, Metazoa, Chordata, Mammalia, Primates, Cebidae.